This 60-nucleotide transfer RNA is filed under the name Tetragnatha macilenta. RNAcentral describes it as "tRNA-Ile". Lineage: Eukaryota; Metazoa; Arthropoda; Arachnida; Araneae; Tetragnathidae. The record is from RNAcentral.
UAGAAUAGUAUGCCUGAAAAAAGGGUUAAUUUGAUAGAUUAAAUAAUGAAAAUUUUAAUU